AAAACUUUCAACAACGGAUCUCUUGGUUCUGGCAUCGAUGAAGAACGCAGCGAAAUGCGAUAAGUAAUGUGAAUUGCAGAAUUCAGUGAAUCAUCGAAUCUUUGAACGCACAUUGCGCCCCUUGGUAUUCCGGGGGGCAUGCCUGUUCGAGCGUCAUU
Molecule: ribosomal RNA, 158 nt
Filed under: Macrophomina phaseolina
Lineage: Eukaryota; Fungi; Ascomycota; Dothideomycetes; Botryosphaeriales; Botryosphaeriaceae
Also listed under: 39 other names
Description: 5.8S ribosomal RNA
Rfam family: 5.8S ribosomal RNA
About the family: 5.8S ribosomal RNA (5.8S rRNA) is a component of the large subunit of the eukaryotic ribosome. It is transcribed by RNA polymerase I as part of the 45S precursor that also contains 18S and 28S rRNA.
Source: RNAcentral